CAGUAGCCGCGGGAACACGUAGGGUGCAAGCGUUAAUCGGAAUUACUGGGCGUAAAGGGCUCGCAGGCGGUUUCUUAAGUCUGAUGUGAAAGCCCCCGGCUCAACCGGGGAGGGUCAUUGGAAACUGGGAAACUUGAGUGCAGAAGAGGAGAGUGGAAUUCCACGUGUAGCGGUGAAAUGCGUAGAGAUGCGGAGGAACACCAGUGGCGAAGGCACUCUGCUGGGCCGACACUGACACUGAGAGACGAAAGCUAGGGGAGCAAAUGGGAUUAGAGACCCCUGUAGUCCCUGUCUCUUAUAC
Molecule: ribosomal RNA, 301 nt
Filed under: uncultured bacterium
Lineage: Bacteria
Description: partial 16S ribosomal RNA
Rfam family: Bacterial small subunit ribosomal RNA
Source: RNAcentral